GAUGAACGCUGGCGGCGUGCCUAAUACAUGCAAGUCGAGCGAACAGACGCGGAGCUUGCUCCUCUGACGUUAGCGGCGGACGGGUGAGUAACACGUGGAUAACCUACCUAUAAGACUGGGAUAACUUCGGGAAACCGGAGCUAAUACCGGAUAACAUGUUGAACCGCAUGGUUCAACAGUGAAAGACGGUCUUGCUGUCACUUAUAGAUGGAUCCGCGCCGCAUUAGCUAGUUGGUAAGGUAACGGCUUACCAAGUCAACGAUGCGUAGCCGACCUGAGAGGGUGAGCGGCCACACUGGAACUGAGACACGGUCCAGACUGCUACGGGAGGCAGCAGUAGGGAAUCUUCCGCAAUGGGCGAAAGCCUGACGGAGCAACGCCGCGUGAGUGAAGGAGGUCUUCGGAUCGUAAAACUCUGUUAUUAGGGAAGAACAAAUGUGUAAGUAACUAUGCACGUCUUGACGGUACCUAAUCAGAAAGCCACGGCUAACUACGUG
RNAcentral lists this ribosomal RNA (497 nucleotides) under uncultured bacterium. RNAcentral's name for it is "partial 16S ribosomal RNA". It matches the Rfam family "Bacterial small subunit ribosomal RNA", at positions 28 to 507 of the family's 1533-position model. The record is from RNAcentral.